GUGGAGAGUGCGAUUGCAGAAGGGGGUGCUUCUCGUUUCAGCGAGUUCCUGGGGAAAACCCCAGGGCAAAACGCUCAGAAAUGGAUUCCUGCACGAAGCACUAGACGAGAUGACAACUCCGCAGCAAACAACUCCGCAAACGAAAAAGAACGACAUGAUGCAAUCUUCAGGAAAGUAAGAGGCAUACUAAAUAAGCUUACUCCUGAAAAGUUUGACAAGCUAUGCCUUGAGCUCCUCAAUGUGGGUGUAGAGUCUAAACUCAUCCUUAAAGGGGUCAUACUGCUGAUUGUGGACAAAGCCCUAGAAGAGCCAAAGUAUAGCUCACUGUAUGCUCAGCUAUGUCUGCGAUUGGCAGAAGAUGCACCAAACUUUGAUGGCCCAGCAGCAGAGGGUCAACCAGGACAGAAGCAAAGCACCACAUUCAGACGCCUCCUAAUUUCCAAAUUACAAGAUGAAUUUGAAAACCGAACUAGAAAUGUUGAUGGUAAGACUUAUAGCUGAUAAUAAGUACUACUGUAUAUUUUCAGCUUAAUUCUGAAUGUUGGCUUACUUCAUUGGUAUCUUUUUCAGUCUAUGAUAAGCGUGAAAAUCCCCUCCUCCCCGAGGAGGAGGAACAGAGAGCCAUUGCUAAGAUCAAGAUGUUGGGAAACAUCAAAUUCAUUGGAGAGCUUGGCAAGCU
This 679-nucleotide long non-coding RNA is filed under the name Homo sapiens (human). Its description in RNAcentral is "HSALNT0171998". Lineage: Eukaryota; Metazoa; Chordata; Mammalia; Primates; Hominidae. The record is from RNAcentral.